AUACGGGGGGUGCAAGCGUUAUUCGGAAUUAUUGGGCGUAAAGGGCGCGUAGGCGGUCUUGUCGGUCAGAUGUGAAAGCCCGGGGCUCAACCCUGGAAGUGCAUUUGAAACAGCAAGACUUGAGUACGGGAGAGGAGAGCUGAAUUCCUGGUGUAGAGGUGAAAUUCGUAGAUAUCAGGAGGAACACCGAUGGCGAAGGCAGCUCUCUGGACCGAUACUGACGCUGAGGCGCGAAGGCGUGGGUAGCGAACAGGAUUAGAAACCCCGGUAGUCC
Molecule: ribosomal RNA, 274 nt
Filed under: uncultured bacterium
Lineage: Bacteria
Description: partial 16S ribosomal RNA
Rfam family: Bacterial small subunit ribosomal RNA
Source: RNAcentral